RNAcentral lists this ribosomal RNA (510 nucleotides) under Moorella sp. enrichment clone R19. RNAcentral describes it as "bacterial SSU rRNA". It matches the Rfam family "Bacterial small subunit ribosomal RNA", at positions 8 to 497 of the family's 1533-position model. Lineage: Bacteria; Bacillati; Bacillota; Clostridia; Neomoorellales; Neomoorellaceae. The record is from RNAcentral.
AGAGUUUGAUCCUGGCUCAGGACUAACGCUGGCGGCGUGCCUAACACAUGCAAGUCGAGCGGUCUUUACCGGGCGGAAUCUUCGGAGGAAACCUGGUAGAGAUAGCGGCGGACGGGUGAGUAACGCGUGGGCAAUCUACCCUUCAGACCGGGAUAACACUGGGAAACUGGUGCUAAUACCGGAUACGUUCCCUGGGAGGCAUCUUCCGGGGAAGAAAAGGGAGGCGACGACCGCUGAAGGAUGAGCCCGCGUCCCAUUAGCUAGUUGGUGAGGUAACGGCUCACCAAGGCGACGAUGGGUAGCCGGCCUGAGAGGGUGGUCGGCCACACUGGGACUGAGACACGGCCCAGACUCCUACGGGAGGCAGCAGUGGGGAAUCUUGCGCAAUGGGCGAAAACCUGACGCAGCGACGCCGCGUGAGCGAUGAAGGCCUUCUGGUUUUAAAGCUCUGUCAUCAGGGACGAAGUCUCGCUUAGGCGAGGUGACGGUACCGAAGAAGAAGCUCCCCGC